CGGACGAUGACAUUAGCUGCAGAAUAAGCACCGGCUAACUCUGUGCCAGCAGCCGCGGUAAUACAGAGGGGGCAAGCGUUGUUCGGAAUUACUGGGCGUAAAGGGCGCGUAGGCGGUAAGCAUAGUCAGGUGUGAAAUCCCCGGGCUCAACCCGGGAACUGCAUUUGAUACUGGCUAACUAGAGUUCGGAAGAGGAGAGUGGAAUUCCCAGUGUAGAGGUGAA
Molecule: ribosomal RNA, 223 nt
Filed under: Oxyrrhis marina
Lineage: Eukaryota; Dinophyceae; Oxyrrhinales; Oxyrrhinaceae
Description: partial Bacterial small subunit ribosomal RNA
Rfam family: Bacterial small subunit ribosomal RNA
Source: RNAcentral